ACGGUUGACCUCGGAUCAGGUAGGAAUACCCGCUGAACUUAAGCAUAUCAAUAAGCG
RNAcentral lists this ribosomal RNA (57 nucleotides) under Verticillium dahliae. RNAcentral's name for it is "partial 28S ribosomal RNA". Lineage: Eukaryota; Fungi; Ascomycota; Sordariomycetes; Glomerellales; Plectosphaerellaceae. The record is from RNAcentral.